Molecule: microRNA, 22 nt
Filed under: human gammaherpesvirus 4 (Epstein-Barr virus)
Lineage: Duplodnaviria; Heunggongvirae; Peploviricota; Herviviricetes; Herpesvirales; Orthoherpesviridae
Description: ebv-miR-BART13-5p
Gene: ebv-miR-BART13-5p
Source: miRBase by way of RNAcentral
AACCGGCUCGUGGCUCGUACAG